This 70-nucleotide transfer RNA is filed under the name Hypselodoris festiva. Its description in RNAcentral is "tRNA-His". Lineage: Eukaryota; Metazoa; Mollusca; Gastropoda; Nudibranchia; Chromodorididae. The record is from RNAcentral.
UAAAGGUUAGUUUAAAAAUUUUUAAAAACUUUGGUUUGUGGACCCAAAAAUAAUCUCAGAUUACCUUUAU